CAUGAUCUAUCUAGAAACUUAGGCUGGUAGUUGGUUUUAAGGUACAGUUAUGAUAAUGGAGAUUUGUAAUUGAGAUUGGACUCAAAUGUGGAUUGGAUGCUUAGAUGUAUCCAUAGACUGUCUUAUUUUUGCAACAGUGUCAAUUAAACAUGAAAAGAAAGGGAGAGAUAUCAAACUUCUUUUUAAGGAAGCACAACCAGGCAGAUCAGGUGCAAACAGACCCCAGGCCUUGCAUCACCACUGGACCCCAGAGCAGCUAGCCUACCUGAGGCUAGUCAGAGUCAGUGUGGUCAGACUUCACAAGGACCCAGUCUACCACCACCAGAUGUAUCAAGGGACGACACAGAGACCUCUGGCUCUGAGCAGGACAGUGAGCCAGAGCUGCCAGGAGAUGUCAUCGAGCCCCUACCAACUUGCAUCAAGCACCAGAUGUGCUGUUCCAAAAGGACCCAGUGACGUUUCCAGAUCCAGAGAAGAGGGUCCUGUAUAGCCGUGUUUGAAAACAUUUCCCAGAACUCAGCAUGGUACUAGGAAAAGGGCUUUCAACAGCUCCUGGUAUAAGGACAAUUCAUGACUGGAAUAUUCUGUAAGUCAAGAUAACGACUUAUUGUUGGCUCUGUUUAAAUAUUCUGGAUUUAAGCUCAAUUCGAAGGCAGAGCAUCGUAUCAAUGCUAUGUAUGCUUGGAAUCAACACAAAAGGUCUAGUGAAAGCAACUCAUCAAUGUUAGAUGUCAUAGAUGAGGACUGGAAAAAGAAAGUGGAGGAAAACUGUACUUGCAUUAAAACAAUUGUAGAUAUGCUUCUAUUAACUGUCACUCAGUAUACCGCAGAGAGGUCAUCGAGAGUCUGCUGACUCUCACAACAAGGGUAAUUUUGACCCUCUCAUAGAGAAAAGGAUGAAUGCAUGUGGCAAUGGUAAGUACACAAGCCACCAAAUCCAGAACGAAGUUCUUGAGGGCUUAGCUGAGAUGGUAAAAGUGAAAUAAUAAGAGAAGUAAACGAAAGUUGUUUUUAGUGUAAAUGCAGAUGAAACCAAAGAUAACAUUUUUUUUUUUUUUUUUUUUUUUUACAAAUGUCUUUAGUUGUGAGGUACUAUUACAAUGGGGCCAUCCACAAAAGCUUUUUACACUUUCAGUCAGCUGAAAGCAUAGAUGCAGCAGGUCUCACAAAAAUGAUAAUUGAUUGCCUUAAUAAUCUUGUGGGGCAAGGCUGUGAGGCUGCAUCCGUCAUGAGCGGAAAGCAUUCUGGUGUGUCUGCACGGAUUAAAAACAGUGCAAGAUUUGCAUUUUAUGUGCACUGUAAUGCACAUUGUUUGAAUUUGGUUCUUGUCGAUGCUGUAAAAUCAGUGCCUGAGGCAGUUCACUUUUUUGCUCUCCGGCAGAAGCUUUAUAACGUUGUAUCUGGCUCGUACGUUCAUCUCAAGUGACUUACAGUUCAGAAAGAGCUGUAUCCACAGCAGCAGCCCAGGGAACUACAGAGACUUACAGAUGUAAGGUGGGCAUGCAGAGACAUGGCAUGCCGUAAUCUGAGGGACAGGCUUCCAGCAGUUGAGUGCCACAGGAUAUCACACUUGAAAAUAGUGGUGAUGUCACAUCCUGAUCAGUUUCACCUGUCCUUUUUAUUGUCUCCACCCCCUCCCGGUGUUGCUUGUUAUCCCUGAUGUAUAUAACCCUGUGUUUCCUGGCUCGCUGUGCCAGUUUGUCUUGUAUGUUCCAAGUCAACCAGCGUGUUUUCCCCGUGCGCCUGCCUUUUUCUAUUCUCUUUUACUAGUCCUCCCGGUUUUGAACCUUGCCUGUUUUCUGGACUCUGUACUCGCCUGCCUGACCAUUCUGCCUGCCCUGACCUCAAGCCUGCCAGCCACACUGUACCUCCUGGACUCUGAACUCGUUUUGACCUUUUGCCUGUCCACGACCAUUCUCUUACCUACCCCUUUUGGAUACAACAAAUAUCAAAGAUUCAAACCAUCUGCCUUCCGUGUCUGCAUCUGGGUCUCGCCUUGUGCCCUUAUAGAUGAUAGAUCAGUAGAGGCAAGGGGCCUUCUUUCUCAGAUAGAUUUACAUUUCAUAGCGCUUUUGGUUACCUUUUGUUAAGUGCUUGGUGAUGCCAAAUGUCUUUCUGACAUGCUCCAAUCAAGCUCUCUUGACCUAGCAAGGUCUGUGGAUUUAGUAGGUGCCCUUACAGACACAUUACAGGACUACAGAAGUGAGGGUUACUUUGCAGAACUAUGGAAAGAGAUUGCAGAGCACUGCAAAAUAAGUGUACAAACAGUGUGUAAAAGACAGCCUAAAACAAGCUUGAGAUUUCAUGACUCAUUGAUGAUGAGCACUGUAGGACAGAAAAAUAGUGGCCAAAGUGAUGGUUUCUGUCACACCAGUCAGCAGUGCUUUUUGCGAGAAGCUUCUCAGCUUUAAAACUGAUUCAAACCCACCUUAGGACAACAAUGGUUGAUGACAGGUUAAGUCACCUCGGAAUCCUCAGUGUUGAGUCAAGGAGGGCACGCUCCCUCAACAUGGAUGAGUUUGUGAAACAUUUAGCCAGUUCUCACCAGAACAGCAGAAGUAUUCUGUUUUAAAUCUACCUAUGAUAAUUUGGCACUUAGGCGGUCCCUCUGGUCAUGAUUAAAACCUGCACUGUGUACUAGCUAAUACACUGAUGUUCUAAAAUGAUCAUUCCAAAGGGUAUCACACUGAUUUAAUUUGGUCUUGAUUAGGCCAAUUCCAAAACUUUUCAUUGCUCUUAGUUAACAUAAUAUAUAUGAGCAUAAAUAUGAUACUGUAAGUUUGUUGUAUUGAUGGGCAACAAAAUUAUUUUUAUUUUUCUGCUUCUUAUUUCUGUCCAUUUCUGCUUGAUACCUGGUAUGUCAAAUUGCGGUGUGUUUUUUUGUAAAUUUACUUUUUUUGUAAAUAAGCUAUUCAAUUUAUGUAACACACAAAUGCUAUCUUAUCUCCUUGGUGCUUAAGCUUUUUUUUCUGAAAAUAAUUUUGAUGUUCAACA
Oncorhynchus nerka (sockeye salmon) is the source of this 2994-nucleotide long non-coding RNA. RefSeq lists it as uncharacterized. The record is from RefSeq and is a predicted model, not a curated record. The transcript is spliced from 3 exons. NCBI's taxonomy places the organism in Eukaryota, Metazoa, Chordata, Actinopteri, Salmoniformes, Salmonidae.